This 76-nucleotide transfer RNA is filed under the name Gammaproteobacteria bacterium. RNAcentral's name for it is "tRNA-Thr". It matches the Rfam family "tRNA". From Rfam's summary of the family: Transfer RNA (tRNA) molecules are approximately 80 nucleotides in length. Their secondary structure includes four short double-helical elements and three loops (D, anti-codon, and T loops). Further hydrogen bonds mediate the characteristic L-shaped molecular structure. tRNAs have two regions of fundamental functional importance: the anti-codon, which is responsible for specific mRNA codon recognition, and the 3' end, to which the tRNAs corresponding amino acid is attached (by aminoacyl-tRNA synthetases). tRNAs cope with the degeneracy of the genetic code in two manners: having more than one tRNA (with a specific anti-codon) for a particular amino acid; and 'wobble' base-pairing, i.e. permitting non-standard base-pairing at the 3rd anti-codon position. RNAcentral also lists the same sequence under 1 other name. Lineage: Bacteria; Pseudomonadati; Pseudomonadota; Gammaproteobacteria. The record is from RNAcentral.
GCCGGAAUAGCUCAGUUGGUAGAGCAACGCACUCGUAAUGCGUAGGUCGUCAGUUCGAGUCUGACUUCCGGCACCA